This 442-nucleotide ribosomal RNA is filed under the name uncultured bacterium. RNAcentral describes it as "partial 16S ribosomal RNA". It matches the Rfam family "Bacterial small subunit ribosomal RNA", at positions 338 to 795 of the family's 1533-position model. The record is from RNAcentral.
CCUACGGGUGGCUGCAGUGGGGAAUAUUGGGCAAUGGGCGCAAGCCUGACCCAGCAACGCCGCGUGAAGGAAGAAGGCUUUCGGGUUGUAAACUUCUUUUGAGGGGGAAGAGUAGAAGACGGUACCUGUCGAAUAAGCCACGGCUAACUACGUGCCAGCAGCCGCGGUAAUACGUAGGUGGCAAGCGUUGUCCGGAUUUACUGGGUGUAAAGGGCGUGUAGCCGGGUUUGCAAGUCAGAUGUGAAAUCCGGGGGCUUAACCGGCGAACUGCAUUUGAAACUGUGGAUCUUGAGUACUGGAGAGGCAGACGGAAUUCCUGGUGUAGCGGUGAAAUGCGUAGAUAUCAGGAGGAACACCAGUGGCGAAGGCGGAUUGCUGGACAGCAACUGACGGUGAGGCGCGAAAGCGUGGGGAGCAAACAGGAUUAGAUACCCCUGUAGUC